CUCUAAUGCGGCCACCGCAAAGGUGAGAGUCACAAGCCUCUACAAACGCAGAGUGGAGA
Molecule: non-coding RNA, 59 nt
Filed under: unclassified sequences
Source: RNAcentral